Molecule: long non-coding RNA, 486 nt
Filed under: Homo sapiens (human)
Lineage: Eukaryota; Metazoa; Chordata; Mammalia; Primates; Hominidae
Description: HSALNT0298265
Source: RNAcentral
CCCGAGGAACGGUAGAAACCGGGAUCGCGGAGGUGCGAGCCCGAGCCCGGGAGCGGAGCGCUUCCCGGGGAGACGCCAAGACGGCGAGAAAGGAGGAGCGGGAACGCAGAGGUCGGGGAAGGUGUGAUUAUGAAAAUAAACAAGGGAAGUGAGGGAAAUAUAACCAAGUGGAAAAAGGAAAUGGAGUGCAAAUUGAGAACAUAAUCCAGAAUUCGUAAAAGUGGUAUGGAUAAAGAAGGUCAAAAUGGUCUCUGAUGAAAAGAAACUUUUAAAAUGCUUGGAAAAGUUAAUGAAUUAGAUUUCCCUGCACUUGAAGAUAUUAGGAUUGGGAGAUCAAGACUCCCAUCAGCCAAAUCAAGAAUAUUCACAAUUGACAGGAAAACUCAAAGUUUCUUUUUCCCCACCAGAGAAAUGUCUCCCACCCCCAUAGCUAAACAGUGGUAAGUCAUAGAAAUGAUUAUAUUAGCUUAAAGAGAAUGUUUCCUA